RNA transcript from Vitis vinifera (wine grape), 732 nucleotides. RefSeq lists it as uncharacterized. The transcript has 2 exons. The record is from RefSeq and is a predicted model, not a curated record. Lineage: Eukaryota; Viridiplantae; Streptophyta; Magnoliopsida; Vitales; Vitaceae.
AGUACCUGUUUGGCUGUAAUAAAUGGUACCGAUACCGUGAUCGGUUGGAGCCUUUUUAUUGGAAAGUGAAGGUUGAAGAAGAGGUAGAGAUGAGCCCUGGCCCCUGGCUUCCUUCGGAGCUCUGACUUCUAAGAUGGUGCGUGUUUCUUUCUUAUUGAUUUUUUUUUCUCAGUUGAAUUUCUUCAAAAAGAAUUUGUGCAGAAAUGGCGGAUCGAUCAAGGAAAUGGUGAUGCUGGCCGUGAAUUGGAGAUUUUACCGAUGUUGAGAUCGGUGUUUCUAGAUCUGCAAUUUUGCAGGAGUCGGGCUUCGAAUUUCUGCGUAAUUUGGCCCCUUUUUUUCAACAAUUUGUGCAGAAUGGUGGAAUUGGACAACAAGGUGGCAAAAGCCUACCUUCGAUUUGAAAGUGAAUGGGCAAAAAUUUUGCUGCUCCUUAGAUCUGCAAUUUCACUAUCAUUUCUCCCUAAAAAUUAUGCAGAAAUGGUGAGAAAUCGAAGAAAUGCUGCUACUGGCCGGGUCACCUGAUCUUUCUGUACAAAAUUUUCUUUUUCUCUGUUUUUAGAUCGGAAAAUGCCUCUCCACUGAAAAAGUCAAGAAGAAUACGUUAUACAUGAGAGUUAGUCCCUCGAAAAGGAGUUCUUUAAAGGCAUGUUUGGUGGAACACCAGAGUGCUCAACUUAAAUAAUUAGGGUACAAUCGAGUCUAAAAUUUUGGACCUGCUCAGCUUAAUCCAAA